UGAUUAUGGUCAUUAUGUAAACCGAAUUACGAACAAAAGUUUGUUUGGUAACUAAUUAUAGCUCACGAAAUCUCUUCCUCUUUCACUUCAGCAUAAUGUAUACAAACUUUUGAACACGCAGAUCAGAAUAAAACAAAGUGUUGACAGCAUCCAGCAGUGGAAAUUCACUUACACAAGACUUUUUUUCACUGAAGUGUUGACAAUAAACAUUUAAUGAAGGCAGAGACUUGGAUGUCUCCAGACAGUGUCAGAAUACUUUAAACAGACCAUUAGCAUGGCUUCUUCUACUUCAAACAGAGCACACUAUACCAUAACAUUAUAAAAAUACAAAGUAUGAAACAAAUAAUCUGUUUAUACAGAUAUUUUAAGAUGUUUUCACCAGCUCUGACAUCCCCUGUAUUUAGUAACAGAAACUUACUCAUUUCAGAUUACUCGCGCUUAAAAAAUGUUAAAUACAGUUAAUGCAAUAUUAAUCGCCCUUUGGUGAUAUAAAAUGCAAUAUUUUCAGGCAGCUAUCGAGCUUUUCUAGAGGAAGAGCUGAUGAAAACAGUCACAGCUGAAUAGUGGAGAGAAAAAAGCUCUGUAUUUAUUGCUUUUGUUUGGCUUUUGGCUACAGAGACAGGAACAUUCUAAUGGGAUCAGAGAGCGUUUCUGAGGUCCUGAGUCUGGCGGAGUGCCCAUGUGGUGUGGCAUCUCCUCAAUGUCAAGGUUUGUCAAGGAAACCUGUGACCACUGGUUGAACAGGAACUGUGGAGAACUGCCACAGGGCACAUGAUGACCUCAUGAACCACCCUUUAGACUUCCAGUGCUUCUGGCUUUAAUAUUCUGUGCUAGAUUCACAGAGCUCUUCUACAGAUGCUAAGCGUUCAAUCCUGAAGGCUCCACUUCAUCAUCAGGUAAUUAGUAUUUUCAUUAACUUGCUUAUUGUCAA
This is a long non-coding RNA of Athene cunicularia (burrowing owl), 931 nucleotides long. RefSeq lists it as uncharacterized. NCBI's taxonomy places the organism in Eukaryota, Metazoa, Chordata, Aves, Strigiformes, Strigidae. The transcript is spliced from 3 exons. The record is from RefSeq and is a predicted model, not a curated record.